AUGCAGUGCGCGUACCAAAGGCCGCUCCCAACGCUGCACCCCCGGAACGCACCAGAAAACUCACAGCGGACAGAGACAGCACGCGUGCAGCGGACAGAGACAGCACACGUGCAGCGGACAGAGAUAGCACACAUGCAGUGGACAGAGACAGCACGCGUGCAGUGUACAGAGAGUGCAUGCAUGCAGCGGACAGAGACAGCAUGUGUAGAGAGGACAGAGACAACACGCCUGCAGCGGAGAGACAACACGCGUGCAGCGGACAGAGAUAGCACGCGUGCAACGGACAGAGACAACAUGUUGCAGCGGACAGAGACAACACGUCUGCAGUGGACAGAGAGAGCACAUGUACAGAGGACAGAGACAGUACGCGUGCAAGAGGACAGAGACAGCACGCAUGCAGCGGACAGAGACAACACGCGUGCAGCGGACAGAGACAGCACGCCUGCAGCGGAUGCGGGGAAGCCGUCGCUCGGCCGGCCCCCGAGAAUCCGGUCAGGGCAAGAGUCCCACGUGUGUGCCGGAUAUGGGCAGGCCACGCUCAGAAGGCACGCGUGGUGGCACAGCAGAGAGGCCUCGCCAGGGCCACAGGUGUGGGAAAUCUUCACGUCCGAGUCAUCACGGGGGUCACAGGGGAGAAGCCGCGCACGCCGCGGCCAUGGGGAACUGUCCAGGGAGGGCUCCCGCGGCAGCAGCGCUCCUCAAUCAUUUCCUCAGGACAGGAGAACCUCCCAAGAACGCCCGAUUCUGCACCGUAGAAUCCGCACACAGCCCACGGUCACGGUUACCUUACGGAGGGGAAACUGGCAAACAGGACGUUUAGGCAGCAGCGGAAGCACCCAUUUUGAACCGGCUCUAGGAAGGAUGUGGACGUCAGCCUGUAGGUCAUCAGCUGCCGCAGAGUCAAGCCUGCUCUAGAGGAGGGCAGCGCACAGACCACGUCCACAGGCAGGUUCACUGACACUGCCGUGGUGGGGACGGCACCCCUGCAGUGCCAGCAAAGGACCGACGUCACGACACAACGCGAGUGUGCGCCCGCAUGUAGACGUGGACGUGACACAUGCAUGUGGGUCCACACAUCUGUGCAUACGUGCACUACACACAGGACUGCAAUCUGUAAGCACGUGUGAAGACGCUUCAGGCUGAGAAAGCAGAAUGAAAAGAUGAGUCCAUUUUCAUGGGAAAAUCUGAAGGCGUGCGUGCGUGCGUGCGUGUGUGUGCACAUCACACUCUCCUGUCCAGCAGGCUUUGCUGCAGGAAAAUCGGGGCUAUUUUUUAAAAACAACCUCAGGUAACUGUUUCCAAAUUUAUUCUCUGUUGAAUAUACAUCGUGAGGUUGCGUCAUAAUAAUUAUUUCAUAGUAAUAAGUAUAAAUACAUAGUGUGACUUAUUAGACACACGGACGUGCACCUGUGACAAAAGCAUCAGCGUGUUUGGAGUGCAGUGGCCUCCCACUGUAGCUCUGCUCACAGUCAGCUCACUCACCCCCCCCCGCAACCCACGUCUCUGCUCGGCCUCUCGGCAGAUAUCAAGUCCUACACUCGAUCCAGAGAAGACACCGCAGUUCACCACACUGUGGGCACCGGCGAAUUCUAAGCGGACAAUUCUUUUUUCCUUAAUAAAUCACAGUCCUGUGCGUGUAUAUAUAUACA
RNAcentral lists this long non-coding RNA (1649 nucleotides) under Oryctolagus cuniculus (rabbit). RNAcentral describes it as "lncRNA (ENSOCUG00000030220.1)". Lineage: Eukaryota; Metazoa; Chordata; Mammalia; Lagomorpha; Leporidae. The record is from RNAcentral.